UUAUAAUAGAUAAAAUAAAACAAAACAAAAUACUAAUAAUGAUGAUGGACAGGCUUACACGUGGUCCGUGCGGAACUGGUCCACGUAGAAUAAUAACGAACUUGUCUUAGGUACAUUCUUAAAUAAAAGAUCCUAAUAAUAGAAAUUAAAUGCAAUCAUUUAGUUUCAAUUAAUGUCCGGUCUCACAGAACAGAGAAAUGGAGCACUAGCAGCAAUAGUAGAAGAAAACCCCAGAAUCUUUUCUAGUUCUUUCUGUCGCAAGCAGAGCCUCGAGCCGCUACUAUACUAGCGCUGGUUGUCUUCUGCCGGCUCUUCUUGAGAUUGUUUUUAGAAGAGGAUGUGUCCAAACUCCUCUUUGCCAUUUCCAUGGAUCUCGAAUGAAAUUCUGAUGAAACUGGAGAAGAAAGAUUUGUCCCGGGAAAGGUUUUGUGAUCUUUCAUCACAGGAAAUUGCCGAACUCAUCUGUUUUCACAAGAUGGACAGAACACUGCACAUUUCAUCCACCAAUUCCCAAAGCUAAACCUUGCAGCACAUGUUCAGCCCAUAAUUCACACUGCGAUGAGGGUGAACCUACAGCAUCACCAGACUUUCAAUGGGAGGACAAGUUUCACGGAUACACGGAGCCAUUUUGGGAUAAUGAUGUUGAUUCUAUUCUUCAUCACCAGUACUUUAUGCUUAAUGAGCAGUACAUUGACAGGGACCACACGCUGAGUUUCACGGUGCCAAUCUAUGAGUAUCGCCACCUGUAGUGUCAGAUAAAUGGCUUGGUUCACAAACAAUUUUAGUCUCUUUUAGGCAUCUUAUCUUGCCAUAAAAGCAUCUGCCUCCAACAGAGUUGUUGGACCUGCAGCCUCUGCCCGUGACUGUGUUGAGAAAUCCAUCAUAUGAAGCUCGUCGUUGAGAUUUUAAGCAUUUUAUUCCAGUGGUUCUUUGUAAUACAGAUGGCAUUGUCAGAGUGUCAUCUGUGCAGUGUAUAUUGCACAUCUUAAAGAAAUUGCAGGGAAUGCUAUCGUGAUUAGGAGAGAUUUUGGUAGAAAUCUUGGCUUGCAGGUUGUUGAAUUAACUGGGGAAACAAACAUGUACUUGAAGUUGCUCAAAAAAGGCUCGAGUAUUCGUCAAAACUCUGGCGAAAUUAGAUGCUUUAUGCUGGAAACGGCAUGAGUAACCAAGUAUAUUCAUCAAUUUAGUCUUUUUAUCAUCGGGGUCAAGGCAGCCUUCUUGGAGGUUAUUGUCUCUAGGACGCAAUACAUUGCUAGUCGUAUAGAGAACAAGAUACAAAUUGUGCCUUUGUCGUCUUCUCUUGCAAAUGCCAAUGAUCUUGGGGAAUGAAUAAGAGCUACAUUCCAUUGUCUUUUCAAUUUUCCUCUGGAAAUAAACAUUCAGGGUGUGGAUAUUGCCAAUUUUGAGCCAAGGUGUCAGGCUGUCAGCUAUAUAUGAUGAAACUGACAUAUUCUUCUAUAGUCCAUCAUGCACAGAAUGGAAAAAAAUGUCGAGAGAAGCCAGAAAGCAUUUACAACUCACUGCUGUAGAUCUGAUGGCAUACUCGAGUGUGGGUGGUGGAGAGAAGCCGGCUUUUCUGCUGCGGUCUACUGAGGUAUUAGAGCCUUUCAUUCAAAAAAUUCAGGAAGAAAUGUUGAGAGCCACUUUGUACAUAGAGUUGGCUACUUGCAUGAGGGCUUGAGAGCAGCUUGGAUCAAGUAGUUGUUUCCAACUGUUUAAAGCUGGGUGGAUUCAGUUUUCUGUCAUGUGUAGUUCAAUGUGUUGGGUAGCGACUUUCUCGGCACAUUUGGUGGUUGUGAUGGGAACUCGAUGCUGUUACAGAUCUUCUUCAGAUGACAAGUCAUGCUAGCAAGCUCUUCAAGAGAUCCCGGGAAAAUGUGUCAUCCUUCGCCACAAACCUCGUAGAGAAUUCUACAAGAAAUUCUUACAUGAAGCGUUUCCACAGGAAACGCAUUCGCACCAUUUCCUACAUGAUAAUUUUAAUGCUGAAGUUAUUGAGCACAAGCAGGAUGCUAUAGAGUUAUGUCAGAGUCACCGGAUGCUGUGUAUAUAGGAGGCUCACUCAGAAUUCAAACUGCUAAAAUCUCCUGGUAGGUAGUUAGAGGCAUGUUUCUGAUCACCUUUCGAAGCUUGUUGAGAACACAUGGAGUGAUCUAGGAGCCGAGUAAAUGCGUUGCUAUCGGACCUCCUUUCUCCUCUGAACCAUGGUAGAAUAGCAUCUUAUUAUUAAAUCAUUUUUACUUGCUAUUUAAUGUUAGAAUCAUGGCUGAAAAUGCUUUUGCUUUAUUAAUACCACUACUAUUUGUUUUCACGACACU
Molecule: long non-coding RNA, 2318 nt
Organism: Populus trichocarpa (black cottonwood)
Lineage: Eukaryota; Viridiplantae; Streptophyta; Magnoliopsida; Malpighiales; Salicaceae
Exons: 2
Source: RefSeq, a predicted model, not a curated record